This 320-nucleotide unclassified non-coding RNA is filed under the name Hevea brasiliensis (rubber tree). The record is from RNAcentral. Lineage: Eukaryota; Viridiplantae; Streptophyta; Magnoliopsida; Malpighiales; Euphorbiaceae.
GCAGUGUCUUGCAACUUAAAUUCAAUCCACUUAUCUGGUUUAAGAGCAACUUUUGGAGAAGUCUCUUCUUUGACUUGGUCAAGAUGAGCCAAGUUUGGAGACGAGUAGUAGUACACAUAGGAGAUUCCACCAGAAACUGCUGCAAUUGCUCCAAAAGGAAUGCGAAACGCUCCGUAAUUGGACUUGUGUUGCCCCCCAAAUCCUAUUGGAACAGCUUUCGCCAUUCUCCUGAAGAAUGUAGAGGCCAUUUUUCAAGGACAAAGGAGACGCAGAGCAGCGUUAGUAGAGCACAACCCAAUGAACAAGCAAUCAGGGUUUUG